Molecule: small nuclear RNA, 100 nt
Filed under: Tupaia belangeri (northern tree shrew)
Lineage: Eukaryota; Metazoa; Chordata; Mammalia; Scandentia; Tupaiidae
Source: RNAcentral
GUGCUUACUUUAGCAGCACAUUUAUUAAAAUUAGAAUGACACAGAGAUGAACAUAACCCUUGAGCAAGAGUGACAUGCAAAUCAUGUGCAUCCUAUUUUU